RNAcentral lists this ribosomal RNA (597 nucleotides) under Bacillus pumilus. RNAcentral's name for it is "bacterial SSU rRNA". It matches the Rfam family "Bacterial small subunit ribosomal RNA", at positions 74 to 656 of the family's 1533-position model. Lineage: Bacteria; Bacillati; Bacillota; Bacilli; Caryophanales; Bacillaceae. The record is from RNAcentral.
GGGAGCUUGCUCCCGGAUGUUAGCGGCGGACGGGUGAGUAACACGUGGGUAACCUGCCUGUAAGACUGGGAUAACUCCGGGAAACCGGAGCUAAUACCGGAUAGUUCCUUGAACCGCAUGGUUCAAGGAUGAAAGACGGUUUCGGCUGUCACUUACAGAUGGACCCGCGGCGCAUUAGCUAGUUGGUGGGGUAAUGGCUCACCAAGGCGACGAUGCGUAGCCGACCUGAGAGGGUGAUCGGCCACACUGGGACUGAGACACGGCCCAGACUCCUACGGGAGGCAGCAGUAGGGAAUCUUCCGCAAUGGACGAAAGUCUGACGGAGCAACGCCGCGUGAGUGAUGAAGGUUUUCGGAUCGUAAAGCUCUGUUGUUAGGGAAGAACAAGUGCGAGAGUAACUGCUCGCACCUUGACGGUACCUAACCAGAAAGCCACGGCUAACUACGUGCCAGCAGCCGCGGUAAUACGUAGGUGGCAAGCGUUGUCCGGAAUUAUUGGGCGUAAAGGGCUCGCAGGCGGUUUCUUAAGUCUGAUGUGAAAGCCCCCGGCUCAACCGGGGAGGGUCAUUGGAAACUGGGAAACUUGAGUGCAGAAGAG